Molecule: ribosomal RNA, 301 nt
Filed under: uncultured bacterium
Lineage: Bacteria
Description: partial 16S ribosomal RNA
Rfam family: Bacterial small subunit ribosomal RNA
Source: RNAcentral
CAGUAGCCACGGGAAUACGAAGGGGGCUAGCGUUGCUCGGAAUGACUGGGCGUAAAGGGCGCGUAGGCGGUUCGUACAGUUGGAUGUGAAAUUCCUGGGCCUAACCUGGGGGCUGCAUUCGAUACGUGCGGGCUUGAGUGUGGAAGAGGGUUGUGGAAUUCCCAGUGUAGAGGUGAAAUUCGUAGAUAUUGGGAAGAACACCGGUGGCGAAGGCGGCAACCUGGUCCAUAACUGACGCUGAGGCGCGAAAGCGUGGGGAGCAAACAGGAUUAGAUACCCCCGUAGUCCCUGUCUCUUAUAA